This is a long non-coding RNA of Octopus sinensis (East Asian common octopus), 128 nucleotides long. RefSeq lists it as uncharacterized. Lineage: Eukaryota; Metazoa; Mollusca; Cephalopoda; Octopoda; Octopodidae. The transcript has 3 exons. The record is from RefSeq and is a predicted model, not a curated record.
CUUUUGUCAUUGUUGUCAUAGGAAUGGUAGCAAAAGGGGUUGAUUCCUACCUAACUCAGAUACCAGGAAACCCCAAAAUGGCAGAAAUUCAAGAGAUAGUGCUCAUGGGAACUUCCCAUAUCCUAUGU